UACGUAGGGUGCAAGCGUUGUCCGGAAUUAUUGGGCGUAAAGAGCUCGUAGGCGGUUUGUCGCGUCUGCUGUGAAAAUCCAGGGCUUAACCCUGGACCUGCAGUGGGUACGGGCAGACUGGAGUGCGGUAGGGGAGAUCGGAAUUCCUGGUGUAGCGGUGAAAUGCGCAGAUAUCAGGAGGAACACCGGUGGCGAAGGCGGAUCUCUGGGCCGUAACUGACGCUGAGGAGCGAAAGCCAGGGGAGCAAACGGG
This 253-nucleotide ribosomal RNA is filed under the name uncultured bacterium. Its description in RNAcentral is "partial 16S ribosomal RNA". It matches the Rfam family "Bacterial small subunit ribosomal RNA", at positions 524 to 776 of the family's 1533-position model. The record is from RNAcentral.